RNAcentral lists this ribosomal RNA (642 nucleotides) under uncultured Bacilli bacterium. Its description in RNAcentral is "bacterial SSU rRNA". It matches the Rfam family "Bacterial small subunit ribosomal RNA", at positions 83 to 711 of the family's 1533-position model. The record is from RNAcentral. Lineage: Bacteria; Bacillati; Bacillota; Bacilli.
CUGGUCAAUCUAGUGGCGAACGGGUGAGUAACACGUGGGUAACCUGCCCAUCAGAGGGGGAUAACAUCCGGAAACGGAUGCUAAAACCGCAUAGGUCUUCGAACCGCAUGGUUUGAAGAGGAAAAGAGGCGCAAGCUUCUGCUGAUGGAUGGACCCGCGGUGCAUUAGCUAGUUGGUGAGGUAACGGCUCACCAAGGCCGUGAUGCAUAGCCGACCUGAGAGGGUGAUCGGCCACAUUGGGACUGAGACACGGCCCAAACUCCUACGGGAGGCAGCAGUAGGGAAUCUUCCGCAAUGGACGCAAGUCUGACGGAGCAACGCCGCGUGAGUGAAGAAGGUUUUCGGAUCGUAAAACUCUGUUGUUAGAGAAGAACAAGUGCUAGAGUAACUGUUAGCGCCUUGACGGUAUCUAACCAGAAAGCCACGGCUAACUACGUGCCAGCAGCCGCGGUAAUACGUAGGUGGCAAGCGUUGUCCGGAUUUAUUGGGCGUAAAGCGAGCGCAGGCGGUUCCUUAAGUCUGAUGUGAAAGCCCCCGGCUCAACCGGGGAGGGUCAUUGGAAACUGGGGAACUUGAGUGCAGAAGAGGAGAGUGGAAUUCCAUGUGUAGCGGUGAAAUGCGUAGAUAUAUGGAGGAACACCA